Molecule: ribosomal RNA, 710 nt
Filed under: Desis formidabilis
Lineage: Eukaryota; Metazoa; Arthropoda; Arachnida; Araneae; Desidae
Description: eukaryotic LSU rRNA
Rfam family: Eukaryotic large subunit ribosomal RNA (bases 450-710)
Source: RNAcentral
AUUCAGUCCGGCGUUGCGGACGUGAGAGACCGGAAAACCAGCAGGGCUUCCCUGAACGGGGGCCGUCCGGUUCCACGCCACCCCGUCGCGCCUGACUUACUUGUCUCUCGUCCGAAGGACGCCGCAGCCGGUUGGGUAGCGCAAGCGCGACGGCCUGAAGGACGGACAAUGGCAGGUGGCCGGUGGCGUGCUUCGGCGCGUCGCCGGUUGUUAGCCGUCACGUCAGUGGCUCGUCACCCGACCGUGGUGUCGCGAGGCCCUAACGGGCCUCUCCGUCUCCUCCCUCGCCGAAAGCGGUAGAGCGCUGCAGUUGGCUUGCGCCGUCCCGUUCGCACCCCGCCGGGGUGGUCGGGCGAGCGUCGGCUUCCGAUCGCGGCGCCGAGGCCGUCGGGGGCUGGAGGCUCGCGGCGAGUAGGUCGGUCACCCACCCGACCCGUCUUGAAACACGGACCAAGGAGUCUAACAUGUGCGCGAGUCAAUGGGUCUUGAACAGGCCCAGAGGCGCAAUGAAAGCGAAGGUCGGCGGACGCCGACCGAGUUGGGAUCCCCGGUCUAGGCCGGGGCGCACCAACGACCCGUCCUCUCCGGUUCGCCGGUUGGGCGGAGUGUGAGCGUACACGUUGGGACCCGAAAGAUGGUGAACUAUGCCCGGACAGGACGAGGCCAGAGGAAACUCUGGUGGAGGUCCGUAGCGGUUCUGACGUGCAAAU